CUACGGGGUGCACCAGUGAGGAAUCUUCCACAAUGGGCGAAAGCCUGAUGGAGCGACACCGCGUGAAGGAUGACGGCCUAACGGUUGUAAACUUCUUUUCUGAGGGAGCACAAUGAGAGUACCUCAGGAAUAAGGGACGGCUAACUACGUGCCAGCAGCCGCGGUAAUACGUAGGUCCCAAGCGUUAUCCGGAAUUACUGGGCGUAAAGCGUAUGUAGGCGGAUAGAAAAGUUGAAUAUGAAAGACCGAGGCUCAACCUCGAGUUUGUGUUCAAAACUCUCUAUCUAGAGUGAGGGAGAGGUAAGCGGAAUUCCACAUGUAGGAGUGCAAUCCGUAGAUAUGUGGAGGAACACCAAAAGCGAAGGCAGCUUACUGGAACUUUACUGACGCUGAGAUACGAAAGCGUGGGUAGCGAAAAGGAUUAGAUACCCUCGUAGUC
This 439-nucleotide ribosomal RNA is filed under the name uncultured bacterium. RNAcentral's name for it is "partial 16S ribosomal RNA". It matches the Rfam family "Bacterial small subunit ribosomal RNA", at positions 339 to 795 of the family's 1533-position model. The record is from RNAcentral.